RNAcentral lists this ribosomal RNA (329 nucleotides) under uncultured eukaryote. Its description in RNAcentral is "partial 18S ribosomal RNA". It matches the Rfam family "Eukaryotic small subunit ribosomal RNA", at positions 1470 to 1796 of the family's 1831-position model. The record is from RNAcentral.
CCCUUAGAUGUUCUGGGCCGCACGCGCGCUACACUGACGAUGGCAACGAGUUUUUCCUUCGCCGAAAGGUGUGGGUAAUCUUUUGAAACAUCGUCGUGAUGGGGAUAGAUCAUUGCAAUUUUUGAUCUUGAACGAGGAAUUCCUAGUAAGCGCGAGUCAUCAGCUCGCGUUGAUUACGUCCCUGCCCUUUGUACACACCGCCCGUCGCUACUACCGAUUGAAUGGUUUAGUGAGGACUCCUGAUUGGCGCCGCCGCCCCGGCAACGGAGCAGCGGACUGCCGAAAAGUUGUUCAAACUUGAUCAUUUAGAGGAAGUAAAAGUCGUAACA